GCCAGACUCCUACGGGAGGCAGCAGUGGGGAAUAUUGCACAAUGGGGGAAACCCUGAUGCAGCGACGCCGCGUGGAGGAAGAAGGUCUUCGGAUUGUAAACUCCUGUCCUUGGGGACGAUAAUGACGGUACCCAAGGAGGAAGCACCGGCUAACUACGUGCCAGCAGCCGCGGUAAAACGUAGGGUGCAAGCGUUGUCCGGAAUUACUGGGUGUAAAGGGGGCGCAGACGGCAGCGCAAGCCAGGAGUGAAAGCCCGGGGCCCAACCCCGGGACUGCUCUUGGAACUGCGCGGCUGGAGUGCAGGAGGGGCAGGCGGAAUUCCUGGUGUAGCGGUGAAAUGCGUAGAUAUCAGGAGGAACACCGGUGGCGAAGGCGGCCUGCUGGACUGCGACUGACGUUGAGGCCCGAAAGCGUGGGGAGCAAACAGGAUUAGAUACCCCAGUAAC
Molecule: ribosomal RNA, 447 nt
Filed under: uncultured bacterium
Lineage: Bacteria
Description: bacterial SSU rRNA
Rfam family: Bacterial small subunit ribosomal RNA
Source: RNAcentral